This 438-nucleotide ribosomal RNA is filed under the name uncultured bacterium. RNAcentral describes it as "partial 16S ribosomal RNA". It matches the Rfam family "Bacterial small subunit ribosomal RNA", at positions 338 to 794 of the family's 1533-position model. The record is from RNAcentral.
CCUACGGGAGGCAGCAGUGAGGAAUUUUCCGCAAUGGGCGAAAGCCUGACGGAGCGACGCCGUGUGUGCGAUGAAGUCCUUCGGGAUGUAAAGCACUGUCAGGGGGGACGAUAUUGACGGUACCCCCAGAGGAAGGCCCGGCUAACUACGUGCCAGCAGCCGCGGUAAUACGUAGGGGCCAAGCGUUGUCCGGAAUUAUUGGGCGUAAAGGGCGUGUAGGUGGUUUUGCAAGUCAGAUGUUAAAUUCCCAAGCUCAACUUGGGACCGCAUCUGAUACUACAAGACUAGAGAGUGGUAGAGGAAAGUGGAACUGCCGGUGUAGCGGUGAAAUGCGUAGAUAUUGGCAGGAACACCAGUGGCGAAAGCGACUUUCUGGACCAUUUCUGACACUGAGGCGCGAAAGCUAGGGGAGCAAACGGGAUUAGAUACCCCGGUAGU